This 251-nucleotide ribosomal RNA is filed under the name uncultured bacterium. RNAcentral's name for it is "partial 16S ribosomal RNA". It matches the Rfam family "Bacterial small subunit ribosomal RNA", at positions 524 to 775 of the family's 1533-position model. The record is from RNAcentral.
UACGUAGGGUGCGAGCGUUAAUCGGAAUUACUGGGCGUAAAGCGUGCGCAGGCGGUUCGUUGUGUCGGCGGUGAAAGCCCCGGGCUUAACCUGGGAAUGGCCGUCGAAACUGGCGAACUGGAGUGUGGCAGAGGGGGUGGAAUUCCGCGUGUAGCAGUGAAAUGCGUAGAGAUGCGGAGGAACACCGAUGGCGAAGGCAGCCUCCUGGGCCAGCACUGACGCUCAUGCACGAAAGCGUGGGGAGCAACAGG